RNAcentral lists this ribosomal RNA (255 nucleotides) under uncultured Gardnerella sp. RNAcentral's name for it is "partial 16S ribosomal RNA". It matches the Rfam family "Bacterial small subunit ribosomal RNA", at positions 100 to 354 of the family's 1533-position model. Lineage: Bacteria; Bacillati; Actinomycetota; Actinomycetes; Bifidobacteriales; Bifidobacteriaceae. The record is from RNAcentral.
UAACGGGUGAGUAAUGCGUGACCAACCUGCCCCAUGCUCCAGAAUAGCUCUUGGAAACGGGUGGUAAUGCUGGAUGCUCCAACUUGACGCAUGUCUUGUUGGGAAAGUGUUUAGUGGCAUGGGAUGGGGUCGCGUCCUAUCAGCUUGUAGGCGGGGUAAUGGCCCACCUAGGCUUCGACGGGUAGCCGGCCUGAGAGGGCGGACGGCCACAUUGGGACUGAGAUACGGCCCAGACUCCUACGGGAGGCAGCAGGC